UUAACACAUGCAAGUCGAACGGAAAGGCCCUGCUUUUGUGGGGUGCUCGAGUGGCGAACGGGUGAGUAACACGUGAGUAACCUGCCCUUGACUUUGGGAUAACUUCAGGAAACUGGGGCUAAUACCGGAUAGGAGCUCCUGCUGCAUGGUGGGGGUUGGAAAGUUUCGGCGGUUGGGGAUGGACUCGCGGCUUAUCAGCUUGUUGGUGGGGUAGUGGCUUACCAAGGCUUUGACGGGUAGCCGGCCUGAGAGGGUGACCGGCCACAUUGGGACUGAGAUACGGCCCAGACUCCUACGGGAGGCAGCAGUGGGGAAUAUUGCACAAUGGGCGGAAGCCUGAUGCAGCAACGCCGCGUGCGGGAUGACGGCCUUCGGGUUGUAAACCGCUUUCGCCUGUGACGAAGCGUGAGUGACGGUAAUGGGUAAAGAAGCACCGGCUAACUACGUGCCAGCAGCCGCGGUGAUACGUAGGGUGCGAGCGUUGUCCGGAUUUAUUGGGCGUAAAGGGCUCGUAGGUGGUUGAUCGCGUCGGAAGUGUAAUCUUGGGGCUUAACCCUGAGCGUGCUUUCGAUACGGGUUGACUUGAGGAAGGUAGGGGAGAAUGGAAUUCCUGGUGGAGCGGUGGAAUGCGCAGAUAUCAGGAGGAACACCAGUGGCGAAGGCGGUUCUCUGGGCCUUUCCUGACGCUGAGGAGCGAAAGCGUGGGGAGCGAACAGGCUUAGAUACCCUGGUAGUCCACGCUGUAAACGGUGGGUACUAGGUGUGGGGUCCAUUCCACGGGUUCCGUGCCGUAGCUAACGCUUUAAGUACCCCGCCUGGGGAGUACGGCCGCAAGGCUAAAACUCAAAGGAAUUGACGGGGCCCCGCACAAGCGGCGGAGCAUGCGGAUUAAUUCGAUGCAACGCGUAGAACCUUACCUGGGUUUGACAUGGAUCGGGAGUGCUCAGAGAUGGGUGUGCCUCUUUUGGGGUCGGUUCACAGGUGGUGCAUGGCUGUCGUCAGCUCGUGUCGUGAGAUGUUGGGUUAAGUCCCGCAACGAGCGCAACCCUUGUUCACUGUUGCCAGCACGUUAUGGUGGGGACUCAGUGGAGACCGCCGGGGUCAACUCGGAGGAAGGUGGGGAUGACGUCAAGUCAUCAUGCCCCUUAUGUCCAGGGCUUCACGCAUGCUACAAUGGCUGGUACAGAGAGUGGCGAGCCUGUGAGGGUGAGCGAAUCUCGGAAAGCCGGUCUCAGUUCGGAUUGGGGUCUGCAACUCGACCUCAUGAAGUCGGAGUCGCUAGUAAUCGCAGAUCAGCAACGCUGCGGUGAAUACGUUCCCGGGGCUUGUACACACCGCCCGUCAAGUCAUGAAAGUUGGUAACACCCGAAGCCGGUGGCCUAACCGUUGUGGGGGAGCCGUCGAAGGUGGGACUGGUGAUUAGGACUAAG
Molecule: ribosomal RNA, 1430 nt
Filed under: uncultured organism
Description: 16S ribosomal RNA
Rfam family: Bacterial small subunit ribosomal RNA
Source: RNAcentral